UUUUUUACUUUUCUAUUAAAAUGAGGAUAAAAAAGUAGAAGUGAAUACUUACCUUUUGCAUAAUGGUUAAACUAAAUAUCUAUUAAAUAAAUAUACCCGAAUAAUAAAGAUCUACGCUGUUUUAAUUCUUAGAAUAAAAUAUAUAAUGUAGCAUAAUUAUUUAAGUAAAAAAUUGUGUAGGGGUGAAACACUUUCAAUUUAUUAAGUAUCUGGAUUGAGCCGAAAUGAAUUUAGUUCGUAAGAUAAUCACAAAGUUAUAAGAUUUUGUGAGGCAAGAAUAUAAAUUAUUGACUUUAAACGAAAUAAGUUUUCAGAUUUAUCAUGCACAAAGAUAUUUAGAUUUAUAUUAAUCUAGCGCACUAGGCUCAUAUCCCCCCCAAUAAAAAAGCGGAUUAAUAAUGUUUAAAUUAGUAAAUAAUAUUAACCUAACAAAAGGAACUCGGCAAAUAUAAUUUUCAACUAGUUUAUCAAAAACAUAGCUUUAAGAAAAAUAUUUAAGGUUUAAUCUGCCCAGUGAUAAUUUUAACGGCCGCAGUACAUUGACUGUGCUAAGGUAGCAUAAUAAGUUGACUUUUAAAUGAAGUCGGGUAUGAACGGAUAGCUGGGGAUUACCUGUCUCGUGUUAGUUAUGUUAAAAUUAUUUAAAAGGUGAAAAUACCUUUACGAUUAUGUUAGACGAGAAGACCCUAAGAAUUAUAAUUAAAGAAAUUUGUAUUACUAAGUUUUUGUUGGGGCAACAAAUUAGGUUUAACCGAAUAAUAACACAGCUUUGCAUGUAAUGAUUUCAUAGAAUGGUAUUAAUUACCUUAGGGAUAACAGCAUAAUUAUAUUAAUAGAUUGUGACCUCGAUGUUGGACUAAGGGCCUUAUUAAAUAGCCUUUAAUAAGGAUAGUUCUGUUCGAACUGUAGACCUUACAUGAUCUGAGUUCAGACCGGCGUAAGCCAGGUCAGUUUCUAUCUACUCUUUAAAAUAAAUUAGUACGAAAGGACCAUAUAUUUUUAUAUCUAUAUUAAUU
This 1016-nucleotide ribosomal RNA is filed under the name Orcula dolium. Its description in RNAcentral is "16S ribosomal RNA". Lineage: Eukaryota; Metazoa; Mollusca; Gastropoda; Stylommatophora; Orculidae. The record is from RNAcentral.